CAGGUCAGCAUACUGCCGUGAAUACGUUCCCGGGCCUUGUACACACCGCCCGUCACACCAUGAGAGUUGGGAAUACCCGAAGCCUGUGAGCUAACUUUUAGAGGCAGCAGUCGAAGGUAGAAUCAAUGAUUGGGGUGAAGUCGUAACAAGGUAGC
RNAcentral lists this ribosomal RNA (155 nucleotides) under uncultured bacterium. Its description in RNAcentral is "partial 16S ribosomal RNA". It matches the Rfam family "Bacterial small subunit ribosomal RNA", at positions 1345 to 1500 of the family's 1533-position model. The record is from RNAcentral.